This 57-nucleotide ribosomal RNA is filed under the name Hime japonica. Lineage: Eukaryota; Metazoa; Chordata; Actinopteri; Aulopiformes; Aulopidae. The record is from RNAcentral.
UUGGUUUGUACUUGGAUGGGAGACCGCCUGGGAAUACCAGGUGCUGUAAGCCUUUUC